UGGAGCAUGUGUGGUCCAAUAUCCUGUUCAA
This 31-nucleotide non-coding RNA is filed under the name Homo sapiens (human). The record is from RNAcentral. Lineage: Eukaryota; Metazoa; Chordata; Mammalia; Primates; Hominidae.